GAUGAACGCUGGCGGCGUGCUUAACACAUGCAAGUCGAACGGGAAAUAUUUCAUUGAGAGUUCGGUGGAUUUGAUUUAUUUCUAGUGGCGGACGGGUGAGUAACGCGUGGGUAACCUGCCUUAUACAGGGGGAUAACAGUCAGAAAUGGCUGCUAAUACCGCAUAAGCGCACAGAGCUGCAUGGCUCAGUGUGAAAAACUCCGGUGGUAUAAGAUGGACCCGCGUUGGAUUAGCUAGUUGGUGGGGUAACGGCCCACCAAGGCGACGAUCCAUAGCCGGCCUGAGAGGGUGAACGGCCACAUUGGGACUGAGACACGGCCCAGACUCCUACGGGAGGCAGCAGUGGGGAAUAUUGCACAAUGGGGGAAACCCUGAUGCAGCGACGCCGCGUGAAGGAAGAAGUAUCUCGGUAUGUAAACUUCUAUCAGCAGGGAAGAUAGUGACGGUACCUGACUAAGAAGCCCCGGCUAACUACGUG
This 478-nucleotide ribosomal RNA is filed under the name uncultured bacterium. RNAcentral's name for it is "partial 16S ribosomal RNA". It matches the Rfam family "Bacterial small subunit ribosomal RNA", at positions 28 to 507 of the family's 1533-position model. The record is from RNAcentral.